This 251-nucleotide unclassified non-coding RNA is filed under the name uncultured Coniochaetaceae. RNAcentral's name for it is "sequence contains 5.8S rRNA gene". The stretch from base 1 to 53 matches the Rfam family "5.8S ribosomal RNA", at positions 102 to 154 of the family's 154-position model. The record is from RNAcentral. Lineage: Eukaryota; Fungi; Ascomycota; Sordariomycetes; Coniochaetales.
GAACGCACAUUGCGCCCGCUAGUACUCUAGCGGGCAUGCCUGUUCGAGCGUCAUUUCAACCCUCAAGCCCUGCUUGGUGUUGGGGCCCUACGGCUGCCGUAGGCCCUGAAAGGAAGUGGCGGGCUCGCUACAACUCCGAGCGUAGUAAUUCAUUAUCUCGCUUAGGGUGUUGUGCGGUGCUCCAGCCGUUAAAGACCAUCUUUAACUCAAGGUUGACCUCGGAUCAGGUAGGAAUACCCGCUGAACUUAAG